RNAcentral lists this ribosomal RNA (557 nucleotides) under Anaplasma phagocytophilum. RNAcentral's name for it is "bacterial SSU rRNA". It matches the Rfam family "Bacterial small subunit ribosomal RNA", at positions 131 to 722 of the family's 1533-position model. Lineage: Bacteria; Pseudomonadati; Pseudomonadota; Alphaproteobacteria; Rickettsiales; Anaplasmataceae. RNAcentral also lists the same sequence under 1 other name. The record is from RNAcentral.
UAGUAGUAUGGGAUAGCCACUAGAAAUGGUGGGUAAUACUGUAUAAUCCCUGCGGGGGAAAGAUUUAUCGCUAUUAGAUGAGCCUAUGUUAGAUUAGCUAGUUGGUAGGGUAAAGGCCUACCAAGGCGAUGAUCUAUAGCUGGUCUGAGAGGAUGAUCAGCCACACUGGAACUGAGAUACGGUCCAGACUCCUACGGGAGGCAGCAGUGGGGAAUAUUGGACAAUGGGCGCAAGCCUGAUCCAGCUAUGCCGCGUGAGUGAGGAAGGCCUUAGGGUUGUAAAACUCUUUCAGUAGGGAAGAUAAUGACGGUACCUACAGAAGAAGUCCCGGCAAACUCCGUGCCAGCAGCCGCGGUAAUACGGAGGGGGCAAGCGUUGUUCGGAAUUAUUGGGCGUAAAGGGCAUGUAGGCGGUUCGGUAAGUUAAAGGUGAAAUGCCAGGGCUUAACCCUGGAGCUGCUUUUAAUACUGCCAGACUAGAGUCCGGGAGAGGAUAGCGGAAUUCCUAGUGUAGAGGUGAAAUUCGUAGAUAUUAGGAGGAACACCAGUGGCGAAGGC